UACAACCUUUGUGAGUCAGCCAUGCCCGCAAAGCGUGCUGUGUUUUAGUCCUGGUAGGAAUAUUUAUCAGAGUUCACACUAUAUAAAACCCAACAGCUUCAACUAUUGCCCUUUCAACAGUUUUGCCACUGACCGGAUAAAAACGGUUUCAGUCUUUGGAUGGAUGUGUUUGUGGUUUGUAACCAUUACGGUUUAAACCAUGGUUUAAGAAUUUGCCCAAAUAACAGAAAUUUUGUUCAGGAAGGGAUAAACUAGAUAUAGCAUACAGAGCCUGUUUUUGAGUUUUAGAUACUUUAUUUGUAAAUAACUUAAAAUAGCUUUCUGAAACCGUGCAUUCUGUAGUUUCUUCCUUUCAGUGAAAUUGCUAAAUGUCAAUGUAUUUUUGGCACUGCGAUUUUAACCAUUUAUUAAAUAAAAAUUUUGUUAAAGAAAAAAAA
RNAcentral lists this long non-coding RNA (437 nucleotides) under Homo sapiens (human). RNAcentral's name for it is "lncAB162.1". Lineage: Eukaryota; Metazoa; Chordata; Mammalia; Primates; Hominidae. The record is from RNAcentral.